Molecule: long non-coding RNA, 202 nt
Filed under: Trifolium pratense (red clover)
Lineage: Eukaryota; Viridiplantae; Streptophyta; Magnoliopsida; Fabales; Fabaceae
Description: long non-coding RNA (TPRA_LNC000259)
Source: RNAcentral
UAGGAGCUUCUAUAAGCUUUGUGUGAUAACCCAAAAUAGUACUAACGGUCUUAACUUCAUGCAUCCUAAACUGCUCCACCACUAUUUUCAAGUAAUCAUACUAAUUAAGAUAAGAAUAAUUCAACCUUCAAUUCUCCAUUUAGUAAUAUUAUGAUGCUCACUUGAAAGAUUUGUUUUGAUUAUAUGGCACCACUUGUGUUAA